AACGAACGCUGGCGGCAAGCUUAACACAUGCAAGUCGAGCGGAUGUAGCAAUACAUUAGCGGCGGACGGGUGCGUAACACGUGGGAAUGUGCUCUUGGGUGGGGAAUAACGCAGGGAAACUUGCGCUAAUACCGCAUAAUGUCUUCGGACCAAAGAUUUAUCGCCCAAGAAUCAGCCCGCGGCAGAUUAGCUAGUUGGUG
Molecule: ribosomal RNA, 200 nt
Filed under: uncultured bacterium
Lineage: Bacteria
Description: partial 16S ribosomal RNA
Rfam family: Bacterial small subunit ribosomal RNA
Source: RNAcentral